Molecule: ribosomal RNA, 254 nt
Filed under: uncultured bacterium
Lineage: Bacteria
Description: partial 16S ribosomal RNA
Rfam family: Bacterial small subunit ribosomal RNA
Source: RNAcentral
CACGUAGGGCGCAAGCGUUGUCCGGAAUUAUUGGGCGUAAAGAGCUCGUAGGCGGUCUGUUGCGUCUGCUGUGAAAACCCGGGGCUUAACCCCUGGCUUGCAGUGGAUACGGACAGACUAGAGGUAGGUAGGGGAGAAUGGAAUUCCCGGUGUAGCGGUGAAAUGCGCAGAUAUCGGGAGGAACACCGGUGGCGAAGGCGGUUCUCUGGGCCUUACCUGACGCUGAGGAGCGAAAGCGUGGGGGAGCAAACAGG